This 274-nucleotide ribosomal RNA is filed under the name uncultured bacterium. RNAcentral's name for it is "partial 16S ribosomal RNA". It matches the Rfam family "Bacterial small subunit ribosomal RNA", at positions 523 to 796 of the family's 1533-position model. The record is from RNAcentral.
AUACGGAGGGUCCAAGCGUUAUCCGGAAUCAUUGGGUUUAAAGGGUCCGCAGGCGGUCAAUUAAGUCAGAGGUGAAAGCCCAUCGCUCAACGAUGGAACUGCCUUUGAUACUGGUUGACUUGAGUUAUACGGAAGUAGAUAGAAUAAGUAGUGUAGCGGUGAAAUGCAUAGAUAUUACUUAGAAUACCGAUUGCGAAGGCAGUCUACUACGUAUAUACUGACGCUGAGGGACGAAAGCGAGGGGAGCGAACAGGAUUAGAAACCCUAGUAGUCC